UUUAGGAGGGAAAGAGAAGUUGAAAAGGCCAGGGCGGUAAGGCGGCUAAGGUUGCAUUAUCAUCCUCUGCUCUCUUGUUUCUCGAAUCCUAACCGUGUCAACUAGUCCGAUCCUUGAACCAAUAUCUGGGAUCUGAUCUUGUGUUUCUCCAUCAUCUUCACAUUUCUCAUCUCUGGCAAUCUCAGCUAUAGUCUAUCCCAAAUCGGAACAUGCCUUUUGCGAUGGAUGUCUGGACGGCUCUGUGCAAAACAUAAUCAGUAAUGUGCAAGGCAAACUCAGCUAUAAUCUAUCCCAAAUUGGAACAUGCCUUUUGCGAUGGAUGUCUGGACGGCUCUGUGCAAAACAUGAUCAAGUUCAAUAUGACUGAGAAUCCCUAAAGCUUGAUAUUGCAUCUACAGGUGAAGUCCAUGUGCCACCUCAAGCAUUUUUAAAUUGUCAGAUCUCAAGCACGGAAAUCAAAACAUCAUAAAGUCUUAAUCUAACAGUUUCAUUUACUAACUAGAAAAGCGACAUGAGAAACUUAUCGGUUUUUGGAGGAGAUAUUCUCAAAACCUAUUGCUGGUUAGCGUUCAGCACAAGGCUGCCUUGAGGAAUCCAGAAUGUUAGGAUUCUAUAUCAUAUCAGGAUUUUGUGCAUUAAUCUAAUGGUUAAAGUGAAGAAGCAUUGGCAUGAAAUAAUGCAUAUUCAUGUCACCAUGUUUGCCAUAACUUUUCCAAUAAAAGAAUGCAAGGGUAACCAAAGCAACAACUGCAGAACUAAUGGCUAGUUUUGAAACUAAAGUAGCCAGUAGGUAGCUAUAGAGAAAGGAAGAAUCUACACUAUCACUUACCUCUCCAGAAACAAUGCUGAAUACCUGCUGUUGUCAAACCUGAUAGACCAAACUUGCAGUGAGUGCCAUUUAUUGAUUUCAUAUCAUUUUUCAUAACAGCAUUACUAUAUAUAUACCUUUGAAUAUUGUUGGUAUGGAGGUUCCAAAGUACACAGUUCGUCUGGGCAGGUUCCAUAUCCAUGCUCUAGGAACAUCAAUUGGAUUCAGACUAGAAUCAUGGUCAGCAAAUACCUACAUAGAGAACAUGUCAUUAACAUUAUCUAAACUGCAAAACUCAAAAGAUGCUUUAUAUCACCUGAAGGUGUCCUGCUAGCUUAUUACCUCGUUAACUUGAAAAUAUGUGCCAUUGAGGGGAAAGCUUCCCCUCAUCGCUGUUCGACAUGGUAUCUGUUUUUGACAUGUUAGAACAAUUGGUUAAUAUUUAAUUUAUAUGGAUUCCAACCUUCACUAAGAAGUCUUUUCAAGAGUACAGUUAUAUUGGCAAUAUUGGCAUGCUUAUUCUCACCAAGAGAGUCCCUCGAACAAUUUGAGAAUUUUCUUCACGUAUGUUGUUGCAUGAGAAACAUGUUUUCUCAUCACACAAUUUGCCACAUUCAUGUAAGCUGCAACUUCUUUCCAGUGGUUGAAUGGAGUUUGCUGUUUCGCCUAAUGUGGGUGAUUUUGCACAAUUGAUCAGAUACCUACAGAACUAUAGCCUAGACAUAUCUGAACUUUGCCUGCAUUAACUUGUUAUUGAACAUCGCAUGUAUUUUUCAAACCUGUGAUUUGUGCCUGCUCAUGCUAUAAUGGGAAAUGCAUAGGGUGUUCAAUUGAGCUGAGUUGAGUUGUUGGACUGUUCAGGUUAUUCUACUCCCACAAUUGAAAGAGCUUUUCUUGAUCUUGGCACAAGCCCUGAAUUGCGAGAUCAUACUUAGCUUGCUAGUAGUCUAUUCAGUGACAAGCAAGUCAAGCUUGAGCUUGCCACAUGGCCAGCAGCAAACCACAUGCAACCAAACCUGUUACCUUUGGUCUUUAUGAAAAUUUGUAAAAGAAGAGGAGAGGAAGAAAGAUUAAUGGUCAUCCAAACAGGCCUGCUUGCCUCAGAUGGAAAGCCUAAGACACAGAUUGGGACACACCAGGUGCAGCUCCUGAAUCCCUCAUCUUUUACUUCUUUUUGAUGCAGGAAUUUACAAAUUCCACAUUUCUCUUAAAAGAGAGAUGGUCAUUAGACUGAUUUAAAUAAGUCAUUCCUUUUUGAUGCUGGACUUCACUAUGAUUGUUGAGGGACAAUAUCAUUGACUGAAUGGAUUGCUUGUUUGUAGAUUUUCUGUUCUUUCUGUUGACCAUUGUUUUCGUUCUUAACUAAUGAAUCCCACACCCAAGGAUGCGAGGAUCCAAACCUAUAUGUGAGUAUUUUAAUCAUGACUUGGUAUUAAGAAGCAACCCAUGCUUCUGAGCUUUUAACCCUGCAAAGCUUGGACUCAGAUCAUUUUCCUAAAAGCAUCUCACAGGGUUUUGACAUGGCUUGCUUGAUUUCUGAGUUUACCCCAGCUAAUAUUGGGCAUAGAGUACCUGAAUAGUUCAUCAGCAACUCAGCUAAUUUGACACUAUGCAGAAAGAAAUGUGUCAUAGCAGUUUCUCUUUGUUAUUUACCUACCUGGUGUCCAUAUGGCAAGAAGGUAUGAACAUGGAUCAUCAGGUUCUCGCCUAUCCAACUGAUUCAAAAGCAAAACACAUAAUUAGGAAAGAAGUUUGGCUAUGUGGGCACAUUUCAUGUAACAUUGCUGAUGAAGUAGAUGCAGAAUUAACUAACCCUUUGCAGAAGGGGAUGAGAAUCUGGAAGUUCGUAUCUGCAUGAUGGUGAAAGAGAGAAAAUUAGAACGUACGAGAAGAUUUUACCUUUUAGUUCUGGCAAAAGAUUUUUGCCUAUUUUUAUCAUGGCCAACAUGAAAUGUGUUGAAAAGCAUUUGGCUUCAAUGCUGAAUGGUGAGAUUUUAUCAUGUUCUAAUUUUGAUUCCCUUAGAAAAAGUUACAAGUUUUGUAUGGGGCUGGUGACAUUUACUUCUUAAGCUAAAUUUUGCCUACUACUGUUUCGAUAAGAAAACAGUUUUAGCGAGGAGGUUGCUACUUACACCUGGUGCUCUGUUCGUAACCGACUAACAUUCUUAAGCUUGGGAACGGGAAUGGAGGCAGCUUCUGCAGUUAAAGCAACUAAGGCCUUAGACAUAUCAGCUUCUUGAAGUUCCAUAUUCUCUUGCAUAUAGUUCUGUAAAUUCUGAGUGAAUUCUUCAAUGUUAAGUUUGAUGAUGGGAAUUUCAUCAGGAUCCUCGCAGAAUGUAUCUUCCAUAUCAUUUUCUGUUACUUGUGUAGACACUGGUUCUGGUGAUGAUGGUUCUUCAAUGAUAGGUUCAUGGUCGGUGAUUCUGGAUUUGCUUUCUGCGAGCCUGCUUGCUUCUGGCUGUUGACUUCCUUCGGAUUGUUUAGCUGUUUGGGGCAGGGGCAGGGGCAGGGACAGGGGCAGUUGAGCAGCAUCCACAGCAGGGUUUUGGCCAGAUAUGUUCUCGGUUGCACUCACUAUGCUUUUUUCUUCUGGUCCUGGAAGGGCAAGCCUUGCACUACAUCCAAUAAGUUUAUGAUAAGUUAACAAAUCUUGCUUUUCAUGCAUGUUAAGGAAAAUGUUGUUCAGGGUAUGUUUCUUAAUUGGGAUUUGUAAAUGCUAAUUUCACUGCAAUAUUUUCUUCAUGGAAAUGGAUGUCCAUGGUAUAAUCAAACUAUGAAGUUAUAGCUGGUUUUUUUCUUAAAAUCAUCAUUUUUACUUAACUGAAUAAUCCAUAACCAUUUGAAGCUUUGGUUAGUUGAUCCAAUUAAAAAAAAAUUAACCUCCAGUUUUUAUGAAAACUAAAGAGGGUUCUAGAUGGUGGUAGGUUUAUGGAACUAAUUCCUGCAUUUGUUUGCUACCAUGCUAACCACACGGCAGUGCCAUUGUAAGAAAUGGAACAAAUUAUAUGCAAACCUUGCAAAUGCACUUGCAAAAUGUCUGCAUUCUCCUCUCAUUGGACAUGCAUUGCAAUUUGGUUUGCUUUUUGUACAGAAUACCUGCAUGAUCUCAAAAUAGUGCUUCCUUAGCUUGAGCUUUUCAUUAACCACAAAGAAGAGCAUAUCACUUCAAGUUUAAAGUAUAUGAAACACACCUUUCCAAAUGUGAUCAUCUGAUAAUGAAGCUCAUACCUGUUUAUGCAUUAACAAUGGAUUAGUAAAAUGUAUUCAUAAUUAAUUCUAUUUGUACAUUAAGUGUAUUCACGGUCGAGGUAAUGUCAAAUGGAAUAUUUCUCUACAGUGUUCUUUGGUCAAGUUUGCACAAUCGAGGCCAGAGGUAUUUUUGAAUUGAUUCCAGCACAGGGUACCUGCACAUCAGCACAUUAGUACUUGUGUCAUAAGCAUUUAGUUAGCAUCAGUAGCCUUUCAGUUAAUAAUACUAACAGCUCUAGAAGAUGCAGCUGAAGUGAUUCAGGCAGUGGCUGAAGGGGGACCCAUCCCAGUCGUACAGCUAUGCGUCCGACAUUUGUGUCAACCUGUUAUGCAGUAUUUAGGGCUGAGAUCUCUAAUAGCCAAAAGUUGAGAUCCGUAUGUUGUUUUGUUUAUGAAGUAUGUCCAACUGAUUAAAGCUUACUGGGAAUGCUAGAUGAUGAAGUGUCAGAAGCCGUAUGCACUCCACACUCUUCAGCCCCAAUCCUCUAAUGCUUAGCAGAUACUCUCUGCAGUAGUGGAAUAUCUCUCAACCAUUCCAGAUCAAUGCUUCCAUGUUCUCUAACCAGUCUAUUAAGCAAGUUCUGCAUGGAUUUUUCAGUCAGUAUCAACUAAGAUAGGCUCUAGCUUUGGUAGUUAUUUUGCAUCUGAAUCAAUGAAUUGUCAGUGACUUUGGGGUCUUCAACAGGCAUGGCUGUAGACUGGACACUCGUAUGCUUGUCUUUUUGAAUGUCGAUGCAUGACUGAUUAUUUGACAUGGGAGAUCUUGAUGCUUCUUGAUUGAUCAAGGGAUCAUAUCAAAGCAGUCAACCUUCACAGCUCCAGAGUUAGAAGUAAGGUGCCAAUAACAAUUACUGGAUGCGACCAUGGACACUCCUAUGGGGCUUUUAUGAUCAUUCAAACUGUCCAUCUUGCCAUUUCCUUGGCU
Long non-coding RNA from Populus nigra (black poplar), 4982 nucleotides. RefSeq lists it as uncharacterized. Lineage: Eukaryota; Viridiplantae; Streptophyta; Magnoliopsida; Malpighiales; Salicaceae. The transcript has 6 exons. The record is from RefSeq and is a predicted model, not a curated record.